GCCCCGGGGAGAAGCCUGGUAUUCUUCGUGUUUAUUUAAUUGUCAACUCUCUGUGUUCUAAGACGAUACCCUGGCCUUGACUCAGUACAACCUAGGACUGUAAGUCCCAUCAUGUCUAUGGACUUCAGUUUCCAGACAUGAAACACAAGAGGCUUGGACGAGAUUAGAAAUCAAGAACUCGAAUGCGUAUGGUCAGAGCCACGAGAGUUUCCAUAAAGGAACACAACCAUGUGGACAACUUGAUUAUGCCCUACAAAACUGAAUUCCUGUGAGCAUUCCUCUUCAAGAUGGAAGAAAAAGGGAAUAUUUCACAACCCCAAUGGUGAAACGUCUGCCUAUAGCCAACAAUACAAUCUGUGAGUCUUUUCUUGGUACCCAAAUUGUUCUGUGGAAGACUUUUUCAAAUUUCCAAGAAAUAA
Molecule: long non-coding RNA, 419 nt
Filed under: Homo sapiens (human)
Lineage: Eukaryota; Metazoa; Chordata; Mammalia; Primates; Hominidae
Description: HSALNT0342649
Source: RNAcentral